UGGGAAGUGACUCAGGAGCCCUUUACCUGUUCACCUCCUUAUCAGCGAUCAGCUGACUUCAGUAUAAACAAAACACAAACCUAAUGGACAGUUACCGGUUCAUAGGUGGUCCGGGGGGCAUUCAAAAAUCGCCCUGAGGAUUACGUCACUGAUGACUUCAAGUAGAGUUUUAAAAGAUAUACAUGAGUUUUGGGAACCGUAAGUGCACCUUCAACAUAGUCCUCGGCUCGCGGCUGCUUUCUGUAGAGAUGUUAUAAAUGUCAAUGGAAUUCGUCUUUGCCGUUGUGAUAUUUGCAGGACUUGCUCACCUUUUUAUGAUUAUAGCGUACUGUCUAUUAGUGUGUCAGAAAAAUGGUGGAUGUAGGGUAAAAAGAAGCGACCCCACGAACGCUAGUACAGACGCCCCAACAGACACUUCUCCGGGCGUCGAUAGUGGUCACGUGGACACAGACAGUCACUCAGAUGCUACCCUAACCCACAACCAGCAAUCAGUCCUAGCAACAAACGACCAAUCACAAACAUUCCUGACAAACACGUGGGUUUCAAGUGUGAUGACACGAAUUCGACAUAUUGCUGGAGGGACGGAAACGAGGGAUGGCGAGAAUCACAGGAGAAGGCAUGAACAAGUCAAUAUGACCCUUGUACAUACAGAUAGUCCGCCCACGUAUGAAGAUGCUACUAAAGGAGGCGAUGUAUCGCUGGACCCUCCACCCUCAUAUGAAGAAACAAUGUUAGGUUCAUAAUCAAGUAUAUAACUUUGUGUAUUUAUUAUACUCCCGGGCUACGCUUGUAUUUAAGGAGGUAUUCUACAUCGUCAGAAUGACCGACUUCCUUUUAAAACAUGAAUGGAAAUAUAGAUAUCAACAAUAUUUGUCUAUUCAUUUCAGCUAGGGUUUGCCUAGCUGAGUAGCUUAGUAGAUUAACACGUGGACUGCUGAAGUGUAUAUCACGGGUUCGAGUCCACGAGGGUGUUUAAUUUUUUUUUUCCAGAUUUGAUCUCUACUAUUUGAAAGUUUUUAAUUUCAAAAUACUGUCGUACAUAUCCUACACUUUUCAUCCAUAUCAAAUUUCUCCACGACAAACAAUUUUUUUUUUUUUUUUUUUUUAUCAAAAAUGAUGAAAAUGGACACUAAAUAUUUUUAUAGGUAAAUUGAAUAGUAUUUACCAUAUGGAAUAUAAUUCAUUUUCAUGAUUUCCCAAUUAAGUCCACAUAAAUAUCCAAAUGGGUGGGGGGGGGGGGAUAUAUUUGAAACUUUUUAACAUCAUAGGAAAUACACAAGUUUAUCUUAUUAAAUAGGAAUUUUAUAUUUGUACUUUAUUUCCAUUAAACUAAGCCAGAAAAUAUGUAUCAGCCCAUACAUUUAUAUGUUAUUUCUGUAUCACGUGUCCUUAAUUAUAUUUUAUUGAAUUGAUCGUUGUGUGAGGUAUAUGUGUUUUGUGAAUAUGUACAGUUAUAUCAAUCUAAUUUCUAUGGAAACGAGGGAAUUAUUUAUAUUCGGUCUUUUCUAUCCCCCUCGUUUCCACAGAAAUUAAUAUCAACCCAUACAUUAUAUGUUAUUUUUGUAUCGAGUGUACUUUUAUUUGUGUUUUAUUGAUUUGAUUCUUGUUCGGGUAUGCGUGUUUUGUGUAUAUGUACAGUUUGUCUGUAUGUGAGUGAGAAAGAGAUCUGAUUUAAAGACAGAUUUAUUGCUGUGAUUGUGUAGUGACUUUGAAGUCAAGAUCUAAGAAAUUUGUGCAUUUAAAUCGGUUUUAUUUACAAAAUUAAACUAAAGAAAUAAAAAAUGAUAAUAAAAACAAAA
Long non-coding RNA from Ostrea edulis (European flat oyster), 1799 nucleotides. RefSeq lists it as uncharacterized. The transcript has 2 exons. Lineage: Eukaryota; Metazoa; Mollusca; Bivalvia; Ostreida; Ostreidae. The record is from RefSeq and is a predicted model, not a curated record.